UGGGGAAUAUUGCACAAUGGGGGAAACCCUGAUGCAGCGACGCCGCGUGAGCGAAGAAGGUUUUCGAAUCGUAAAGCUCUGUCCUAUGAGAAGAGAAUGACGGUAUCAUAGGAGGAAGCCCCGGCUAAAUACGUGCCAGCAGCCGCGGUAAUACGUAUGGGGCGAGCGUUGUCCGGAAUUAUUGGGCGUAAAGGGUACGUAGGCGGUCUAUUAAGUCAGGUGUGAAAGCGUGAGGCUUAACCUCAUUAAGCACUUGAAACUGAUAGACUUGAGUGAAGGAGAGGAAAGUGGAAUUCCUAGUGUAGCGGUGAAAUGCGUAGAUAUUAGGGGGAAUACCGGUGGCGAAGGCGACUUUCUGGACUUUUACUGACGCUCAGGUACGAAAGCGUGGGGAGCAAACAGG
Molecule: ribosomal RNA, 403 nt
Filed under: Verrucomicrobiota bacterium
Lineage: Bacteria; Pseudomonadati; Verrucomicrobiota
Description: Verrucomicrobia bacterium partial 16S ribosomal RNA
Rfam family: Bacterial small subunit ribosomal RNA
Source: RNAcentral